This 608-nucleotide ribosomal RNA is filed under the name uncultured bacterium. RNAcentral's name for it is "bacterial SSU rRNA". It matches the Rfam family "Bacterial small subunit ribosomal RNA", at positions 232 to 848 of the family's 1533-position model. The record is from RNAcentral.
CGCGGCCUAUCAGCUUGUUGGUGGGGGUAAUGGCCUACCAAGGCGACGACGGGUAGCCGGCCUGAGAGGGUAACCGGCCACACUGGGACUGAGACACGGCCCAGACUCCUACGGGAGGCAGCAGUGGGGAAUAUUGCACAAUGGGCGCAAGCCUGAUGCAGCGACGCCGCGUGAGGGAUGACGGCCUUCGGGUUGUAAACCUCUUUCAGUAGGGAAGAAGCCGUGAGGUGACGGUACCUGCAGAAGAAGCGCCGGCUAACUACGUGCCAGCAGCCGCGGUAAUACGUAGGGCGCAAGCGUUAUCCGGAAUUAUUGGGCGUAAAGAGCUCGUAGGCGGUUUGUCGCGUCUGCUGUGAAAGACCGGGGCUCAACUCCGGUUCUGCAGUGGGUACGGGCAGACUAGAGUGCAGUAGGGGAGACUGGAAUUCCUGGUGUAGCGGUGAAAUGCGCAGAUAUCAGGAGGAACACCGAUGGCGAAGGCAGGUCUCUGGGCUGUAACUGACGCUGAGGAGCGAAAGCAUGGGGAGCGAACAGGAUUAGAUACCCUGGUAGUCCAUGCCGUAAACGUUGGGCACUAGGUGUGGGGGACAUUCCACGUUUCCGCGCCG